UGCGGGGUGGAGAAGUGGUAUCUCGUCGGGCUCAUAACCCGAAGAUCGCGGGUUCGAGUCCCGCCCCCGCUA
RNAcentral lists this transfer RNA (72 nucleotides) under Rhodothermaceae bacterium. Its description in RNAcentral is "tRNA-Met". It matches the Rfam family "tRNA". From Rfam's summary of the family: Transfer RNA (tRNA) molecules are approximately 80 nucleotides in length. Their secondary structure includes four short double-helical elements and three loops (D, anti-codon, and T loops). Lineage: Bacteria; Pseudomonadati; Rhodothermota; Rhodothermia; Rhodothermales; Rhodothermaceae. The record is from RNAcentral.